Molecule: ribosomal RNA, 480 nt
Filed under: Streptococcus australis
Lineage: Bacteria; Bacillati; Bacillota; Bacilli; Lactobacillales; Streptococcaceae
Description: bacterial SSU rRNA
Rfam family: Bacterial small subunit ribosomal RNA
Source: RNAcentral
GAUGAACGCUGGCGGCGUGCCUAAUACAUGCAAGUAGAACGCUGAAGGAAGGAGCUUGCUCUUUCCGGAUGAGUUGCGAACGGGUGAGUAACGCGUAGGUAACCUGCCUGGUAGCGGGGGAUAACUAUUGGAAACGAUAGCUAAUACCGCAUAACAGUAGAUAUUGCAUGAUAUCUGCUUGAAAGGGGCAAUUGCUCCACUACCAGAUGGACCUGCGUUGUAUUAGCUAGUUGGUGAGGUAACGGCUCACCAAGGCGACGAUACAUAGCCGACCUGAGAGGGUGAUCGGCCACACUGGGACUGAGACACGGCCCAGACUCCUACGGGAGGCAGCAGUAGGGAAUCUUCGGCAAUGGACGGAAGUCUGAUCGAGCAACGCCGCGUGAGUGAAGAAGGUUUUCGGAUCGUAAAGCUCUGUUGUAAGAGAAGAACGAGUGUGAGAGUGGAAAGUUCACACUGUGACGGUAUCUACCAGAAAGG